UUUGAUUCUGGCUCAGAAUCAACGCUGGCGGCGUGCCUAACACAUGCAAGUCGAACGAGAAAGUGGGGGCAACCCUGCGAGUACAGUGGCAGACGGGUGAGUAACACGUGAACAACCUACCCUUGAGUGGGGAAUAACACCGCGAAAGCGGUGCUAAUACCGCAUAAAAUCUUCGGGUCGCAUGACGUGGAGAUCAAAAGCGCAAGUUGCUUGAGGAGGGGUUCGCGGCUGAUUAGCUAGUUGGUGAGGUAACGGCCCACCAAGGCAACGAUCAGUAGCCGGCCUGAGAGGGCGAACGGCCACACUGGAACUGGGACACGGUCCAGACUCCUACGGGAGGCAGCAGUGGGGAAUUUUGCGCAAUGGGCGAAAGCCUGACGCAGCAACGCCGCGUGGAGGAUGAAGGCCUUCGGGUCGUAAACUCCUGUCGAUGGGGACGAAGUUCUCGCAAGAGGAUUGACUGUACCCGUUGAGGAAGCCACGGCUAACUCCGUGCCAGCAGCCGCGGUAAUACGGGGGUGGCAAGCGUUGUUCGGAAUUACUGGGCGUAAAGGGCGCGUAGGCGGCAUAACAAGUCAGAUGUGAAAGCCCCGAGCUCAACUCGGGAACUGCAUCUGAAACUGUAUUGCUUGAGUUCUGGAGGGGGUAGUGGAAUUCCCAGUGUAGCGGUGAAAUGCGUAGAUAUUGGGAGGAACACCUGCGGCGAAGGCGGCUACCUGGACAGUGACUGACGCUGAGGCGCGAAAGCUAGGGGAGCGAACGGGAUUAGAUACCCCGGUAGUCCUAGCCGUAAACGAUGGGCACUUGGUGUUGGGGGUAUUGAGUCCCUCGGUGCCGGAGCUAACGCGAUAAGUGCCCCGCCUGGGGAGUACGGUCGCAAGACUGAAACUCAAAGG
This 896-nucleotide ribosomal RNA is filed under the name uncultured bacterium. Its description in RNAcentral is "bacterial SSU rRNA". It matches the Rfam family "Bacterial small subunit ribosomal RNA", at positions 12 to 907 of the family's 1533-position model. The record is from RNAcentral.